UAGCGUAUACUAAAGUUGUUGCAGUUAAAAAGCUCGUAGUUGGAUUUCUGUUGAGAACAGGCGGUCCACCUUUUGGGUGAGUAUCUGCAUUGGUCUCGGCAUCUUCUUGAAAAACGUUCCUGCGCUUGAUUGCGUGGGGCGGAGUUCAGGACUUUUACUUUGAGGAAAUUAGAGUGUUCACGGCAGGCAUACGCCUUGAAUAUAUUAGCAUGGAAUAAUAAUAUAGGAUCUUGGUUCUAUUUUGUUGGUUUCUAGAGCUAAGAUAAUGAUUAAUAGGGACAAUUGGGGGCAUUCGUAUUAACGCGUC
Molecule: ribosomal RNA, 307 nt
Filed under: Amoebophrya sp.
Lineage: Eukaryota; Dinophyceae; Syndiniales; Amoebophryaceae
Description: SSU rRNA
Rfam family: Eukaryotic small subunit ribosomal RNA
Source: RNAcentral